This 561-nucleotide ribosomal RNA is filed under the name Vibrio cholerae. RNAcentral's name for it is "partial 23S ribosomal RNA". It matches the Rfam family "Bacterial large subunit ribosomal RNA", at positions 439 to 1002 of the family's 2925-position model. Lineage: Bacteria; Pseudomonadati; Pseudomonadota; Gammaproteobacteria; Vibrionales; Vibrionaceae. The record is from RNAcentral.
UGAAUAUGGGGGGACCAUCCUCCAAGGCUAAAUACUCCUGACUGACCGAUAGUGAACCAGUACCGUGAGGGAAAGGCGAAAAGAACCCCUGUGAGGGGAGUGAAAUAGAACCUGAAACCGUGUACGUACAAGCAGUAGGAGCACCUUCGUGGUGUGACUGCGUACCUUUUGUAUAAUGGGUCAGCGACUUAUAUUCAGUGGCAAGGUUAACCGUAUAGGGGAGCCGUAGCGAAAGCGAGUCUUAACUGGGCGCUCAGUCUCUGGAUAUAGACCCGAAACCGGGUGAUCUAGCCAUGGGCAGGUUGAAGGUUGAGUAACAUCAACUGGAGGACCGAACCGACUAAUGUUGAAAAAUUAGCGGAUGACUUGUGGCUAGGGGUGAAAGGCCAAUCAAACUCGGAGAUAGCUGGUUCUCCCCGAAAGCUAUUUAGGUAGCGCCUCGGACGAAUACUACUGGGGGUAGAGCACUGUUAAGGCUAGGGGGUCAUCCCGACUUACCAACCCUUUGCAAACUCCGAAUACCAGUAAGUACUAUCCGGGAGACACACGGCGGGUGCUAAC